UUCCUGGUAGCCUAGUGGUUAAGGAUCUGGCAUUGCCAAUGCUAUGGUGCAGGUUUGAACCCUGACCUGGGAA
Molecule: transfer RNA, 73 nt
Filed under: Sus scrofa (pig)
Lineage: Eukaryota; Metazoa; Chordata; Mammalia; Artiodactyla; Suidae
Rfam family: tRNA
About the family: Transfer RNA (tRNA) molecules are approximately 80 nucleotides in length.
Source: Rfam by way of RNAcentral